This is a non-coding RNA of Camellia sinensis, 1328 nucleotides long. NCBI's taxonomy places the organism in Eukaryota, Viridiplantae, Streptophyta, Magnoliopsida, Ericales, Theaceae. The record is from RefSeq and is a predicted model, not a curated record.
UGUUGCUGCAUCAAUGGCUAGCUUUUGAAAUCAUCAUGUGUGAUCUAUAAAACUCAAGUUUGAGGUUGUAAGUUAUGAAACUGAGAAAGAGAGAGAGGGGACUGACUUUUAUAUAUAUAUAUAUAUAUAUAUCUGCUUGUGGUAAUUUAUGUGCUCUUUUAGUAUUAAUCGGAAUUCACAAUGAGUCUCUCAAUCAAGUCUUUGAGAAUAAGAUGUGUUAUGAUGCCCAAAGUUUCAUUUACGUAACCCAUUAAAACUUAUUACUCUACUUUUUGGGUGAAGGCUAUGUAGUCUAUAGAAUCCUCUGCGGAGUACUGGACACUGCAUAUAGAUUGUAUGCACUUGUUUCGUGAUGUCUACUUAAUCAUUAUUUAUGAAGCUAAUUCAGCCGGGUUGUAGAUUGAUCGACUGAUUGCAAAUAGUGUAGAAGGCUAAAUUUGAUGCAUGGUGGGAUGUAUCAAAUAUUUUUUUGUAUGUAUAUUUUUAUUUUCUAUUUAUAUAAAUAUGACAUUUAUAAACAAUCAAAAUUAAUGAAAACUAACUCUAAUUUACUUUUAAAAAAAAGCAAAUUUAAGUCAUCCAGAGAUUAUGUUUGUGUUGUGUUAUGGUCCAAGGAUCAUUAAAAGUCAAUCUAUCAAAUUUACAUUUGUGGUUAGAUAUCGAUGGUUUGAUAUGAGUUCUGUACUUUUUUUCUUUUAAAUUCAACCCCUAUGUUUUCAAAUAUUAUAAUAUGACCUCAAAAUCAGGUUUAAAAAAUUAAAAUAAGACACUGCCAUGUCCAUGUGUCCCCUGAAAAAAAAUGAUAACCAAAAAAAUAAUCACGCCACAUAGCAUGUCACAUACAUGUCCCCAUUGUGUGUGUCCUAUACACGUCUAACAUGGCUACAACACCUAUUUUGAUGUGUCGGUGCUUCUUAGUAAACAAUGAACCAAAUGUUACCCUGUUGCUUUAUUUACUAGCCCUAGCAAUAGGGAAUUAUCUUAUCUAAUUUUUCUGCACUGAAAAUUUUGCUGUGUGGGGAGAUAAAGAGGUGAAGGGAACUAUGCUUGUGGCAUCCAGCAACAUGCUGAUUCUGUCAAAUUGUGCUUGACCUCAUGUUCUCCCUCACAAUGUUUUUCACGUCAGCCUACAUGUCACUAUUCCCUGUAGGAAGGAAAAUGGGUUACUUUUUGUCCCCAAUGGCCAGGCUCAGAAUGCACAGGCACAAAUGUUUUCUGAUCCAAACAUGGCCAUGGAUAUGAUGAAGAAAAAUCUUUCAAUGAUCAUACCCCAGACUCUUACUUUUGCCUGGGUUAACUUUUUCUUUUCCGGAUUUGUAGCAGUUCAG